CUUCUCUCUCGGGCUUCAUCAUGGGCCUAGCCUUUCCCCUUGGGCCUAGACUAAAAAAUCCGGAAAACGACGUCGGAUCUUUCCAUUUGAAGAUACCACGGCAUCUCUAGCAUUGCAUCGCUAUCUAUCUAUCUAUCCACCUGAAAUGGCUUCCAUAUCCAUAGCCAGCUUCUCUCCACAAGCUCUAUCUCGUCCAAGAACUCAAAACCCUAACCCUAACCCAAAAAAACCGAAUCGAAACCCCAGCUCUAAUUUCAAGCCUCAAAAGAGUAAAUACAACAAAUUUAUUGCACAACCACUGACCUUAUCUGGCGGCGAAGCCACAACCUACACUCGCCUGCCGCCGAGAGAAGAUUUUACCCUUCCGUCCAUCGAUUUUAAAGCGGCGGAAGUUAAGCUCCGCAAUUCAAAUGUAGCUGAACGCCGAAACGACAACGAGGAUCACCGUUUCGGUAGUGAAGAAGAAGAAGAUGAUGAUGAUAUUGAUGGUGAACUGCAAGUUGAUUAUGGUAGAUUUGAGGUUUACGAGGUUAAUUCUGAUUAUGAGGGUGAAGAAGAAGAGGAAGACAACGAUAUAAUUGAAAAUGGCAAAACUGUGGAUUAUUACGAUGACAGGGACUUUUAUGAUGGAGAAGGAGAAGGAGGAGAAGAGAUUGAUAUAAAAGAGAAAGGAGUGCCAGCUGUAAUGCGAUGUUUUGACACAGCGAAAAUCUACGUAAAAGCGGGAGAUGGAGGAAACGGUGUUGUAGCAUUUCGUCGCGAGAAGUUCGUGCCAUUAGGUGGGCCCUCUGGUGGAGAUGGAGGUAGAGGAGGAAAUGUAUACGUAGAAGUUGAGGGUUCAAUGAAUUCGUUAUUACCAUUUAGGAAUAGAGUUCAUUUUAGAGCUGGGAGAGGGUCCCACGGGCAAGGGUCUAUGCAAAAUGGCGCCAAAGGAGAGGAUGUAGUGGUUAAGGUUCCGCCAGGUACGGUUAUUAGAGAAGCGGGAAAAGCGGAGGUGUUGUUGGAAUUGUUGGAUGCCGGCCAAAAGGCUUUGCUGUUGCCUGGUGGUAGAGGUGGUAGAGGAAACGCUGCGUUUAAAUCUGGUACUAAUAAAGUCCCUAGGAUUGCUGAGAAUGGUGAAGAGGGAGUCGAAAUGUGGUUGGAGCUGGAGCUAAAGCUCGUUGCAGAUGUUGGAAUCGUGGGUGCACCCAAUGCUGGGAAAAGUACACUUUUGAGUGUAAUAAGUGCUGCACAGCCAGCAAUAGCAAAUUACCCCUUUACUACUUUACUUCCUAACCUUGGUGUAGUUUCAUUUGAUUAUGAUUCUACAAUGGUUGUGGCAGACCUUCCAGGUCUACUCGAAGGAGCACAUCGGGGUUUUGGUUUGGGCCAUGAGUUUCUACGACACACAGAAAGAUGUUCUGUACUGGUACAUGUGGUUGAUGGCUCUUCGCAGCAGCCAGAAUUUGAGUUUGAUGCUGUUCGUCUUGAGCUGGAAUUGUUCAGUCCUGAAAUUGCUGAGAAGCCUUUCAUAGUUGCCUAUAACAAAAUGGAUCUUCCAGAUGCUUAUGAAAACUGGUCAUCAUUUAUGGAACAAUUAGAAGCUCGUGGGAUUAAGACUUUCUGCAUGAGUGCUGUGAAAAAAGAAGGCACACGUCAAGUGAUUUGUGCUGCUUAUGAGCUUCUACGGAAAAGUAAAGACGCCAAUCAGGAGUCCGAAGGUUGGAUAGAUCCAGCAAAUUUGAAUCAUGUAGCCGAUAUGGUACAGAAGCAACGAAGAAGCCCUAUCAAUGACUUUGAGAUCUUUCACGAAAGUGGUUCCAAUACUUGGCAAGUGAUUGGGUCUGGAUUACAACGUUUUGUUCAGAUGACAAAUUGGCGAUAUGCAGAUUCUGAGAGAAGGUUCCAGCAUGUUUUGGAAGCUUGUGGUGUGUACAAGACUCUCAAGAAGAUGGGUGUCAAGGAAGGUGACACAGUGAUUGUUGGAGAGCACCCAUGUGCAGAACACUUGCUCAUGCUCACUGAUGUCUAUAUGAUGAUGGUAGUGUGAUAGACUUCAGUUAUGAUUUAUUGCUGCAGGCACUUAAGAAUCUUGAAUUUCAAAUAAGAUGGAAAUGGUCUGGCAUGACUCUGAGAGUCCUGAUCCCUCAAAUUUGAAGAGAAGAUUUGAGUCAGCCAAAUGGCCUGACUUGAUGUAAUUCUCUUGAAUUUGGUUGAUCAAAGCAGGGAACUUCUAGAGUGAAUGGUAAUUGUUGCCUCAAAUACUUCCACUAAAGCAGCUAGAUUAAAGACGAUUCUGUUUUUGGGUGUUUGCAACAGCCUACUACUAUGCAGACAACUCUUACUGAAUGAAUUUGUUACUUCUCUAAGAAAUGUCACAGCAUAUCUUCCCCCAGUCUUUCUGUUGCUUAAAUUUCUUUGAAUAAUUAUUGGAAGCUUUCAAGAUUAAAAGGAUGGGAAGUUAUUAAUAUAGCUUGAAAUUGAUUUUCCCUGAAUAAUCACAAGCAGUUCUUGCCAGUGAUUUGGGCAUGGCAAGGAAGCCACGGGGGGCAAAAGUGUAAAGCUAUGAGAUUGUCCCUGCCAAGCCAUGAGACUAAUGAAUUCAACAGGUAUUCCUGGGCUACAUGAUAUCUGAAGCUGAAGAUAAGCUGAUUCUUUGUCGUCAUUGCAGUUGCCAUCUGCCCAGGUAAUUGUCAAAUGGAGAUCAAGGAUUUGAUCCCUGAAGGUUAGGUUUUUCUUUUUGCUUUUUAAUUUUUAAUUUUUAAUUUUUAAUUUUUUUGGAUAGAAAUAUGUCCAUUAAAACUAAAGAGUCACAGAAAACAUUAUAGUAGCUACCCAUCUCAAGAGGAGCUUCGGUUCCACUGAAUUAGGAAAACCUAGAAGCACAUCAUCAGUGAACAAUUUAUCUCUAGAUGAAUUAUGCAUAUGUUCAUUCUUAGCAGAGGUGUAUCUCUCUAAUAUCUUACAAGUGUAUUGAUGGUUUUAGCUACAGGAAAUUUAUUUAUAUAAAUUCCUUAAUUAUAAUAA
RNA transcript from Ricinus communis (castor bean), 3006 nucleotides. It is a transcript of the gene named GTP-binding protein OBGC, chloroplastic, with no coding region annotated. The record is from RefSeq and is a predicted model, not a curated record. The transcript is spliced from 8 exons. Lineage: Eukaryota; Viridiplantae; Streptophyta; Magnoliopsida; Malpighiales; Euphorbiaceae.